This 396-nucleotide long non-coding RNA is filed under the name Anser brachyrhynchus (Pink-footed goose). RNAcentral's name for it is "lncRNA (ENSABRG00000012974.1)". The record is from RNAcentral. Lineage: Eukaryota; Metazoa; Chordata; Aves; Anseriformes; Anatidae.
CACUAAGAAAGUUGUAAAUAAAAAAUUGUGAGUCCAUUUAAAUGACUUUGUUUCCUUGAAAAAUUUAGAAAUUGUCCAAGGAGUCUGCUAACUGGUAGAGCACAGGGGAUUCACUGGAUUGUCUGAUCUGUGACAACAUGCACGUUGAACAAGUAUUUCUUAAUGAUGCUCUCAUCUUCAUUUAGCCUUGUGGUGUCAGAGAAUCCACAGAACUCCAAACUGGAUCAUGGCCAUUGCAAGCUGCAUGCUGAGUGAAGAAGUCCAGAUUCCUAUUGGUGUUUUCGUCUAAAGAUCUAGCUUUGACAGCAUCCCUGACUGAUCUGACCGAUGACUGAGAAUCUCUGAGAAUACCUACAUUAACAGCUCUUCUGCCUAGAAAUGAGAAUGAGAAAUUAG